GACGAACGCUGGCGGCGUGCCUAAUACAUGCAAGUAGGACGCAGUUGCGAACGGGUGAGUAACGCGUAGGUAACUGCCUAUUAGAGGGGGAUAACUAUUGGAAACGAUAGCUAAUACCGCAUACUAGUAGAUGGACCUGCGUUGUAUUAGCUAGUAGGUAGGGUAAUAGCCUACCUAGGCGACGCCACAUAGCCGACCUGGGAAGGGGAUCGGCCAAAAAGGGACUGGGUCACGGCCCAGACUCCGACGGGAGGGAGCAGUAGGGAAUCUUCUGCAAUGGGGGGACACCUGGCCGAGCAACGCCGCGUGAGUGAAGAAGGUUUUCGGAUCGGAAAGCUCUGUUGUUAAGGGAGCGGUACUUAACCAGAAAGGGACGGCUAACUACGUGCCAGCAGCCGCGGUAAUAC
Molecule: ribosomal RNA, 407 nt
Filed under: uncultured bacterium
Lineage: Bacteria
Description: partial 16S ribosomal RNA
Rfam family: Bacterial small subunit ribosomal RNA
Source: RNAcentral